GGGGUCGAUCGGAUUUGACAGCGGAACGAGGUGAUCUGUAAGCACGCAGUGCGGAUGAAAGCGGGCACUUUAAUCUUGGCUUUCAAACAAUUUAUCUGGCGAAAAUAAUUACGCUCUCGCUGCUUAAUCGAAGUAUAGUAGAUUGGCUUUAUUCCUUCUCAAGGAGUUGGAACGAGACAUCACCCAAGAGCACUUGCUCCUUUGCGUCUUGAAAUGGUGGUGCUGUAAAUAGGAGAUAGAUGCGGAAUGCCUCGAUUUUGCAUUGAAAUAUUAGAGGAUAAGGCAACGGAGAGGUAGCUUCCACCCAACCUUUGCACGAAAAUCAAUAGGAAGAUAAGCGUGUAGAAAGCAUAUCAGUUCUCCGUUUGGACGAGGGUUCAAUUCCCUCCGGCUCCACCA
Molecule: transfer-messenger RNA, 399 nt
Filed under: Bacteroidaceae
Lineage: Bacteria; Pseudomonadati; Bacteroidota; Bacteroidia; Bacteroidales
Also listed under: 1 other name
Description: Alloprevotella sp003859795 Standard tmRNA
Rfam family: transfer-messenger RNA
About the family: Bacterial tmRNA, also known as 10Sa RNA or SsrA, is named for its dual tRNA and mRNA-like properties. Its role is to liberate the mRNA from a stalled ribosome. To accomplish this part of the tmRNA is used as a reading frame that ends in a translation stop signal.
Source: RNAcentral